GAUGAACGCUAGCUACAGGCUUAACACAUGCAAGUCGAGGGGUAACGAGAGGAAAGCUUGCUUUCCUUGUCGACGACCGGCGCACGGGUGAGUAACGCGUAUCCAACCUGCCCCCAACUAGGGAAUAACCUUGCGAAAGUAAGACUAAUACCCUAUAAUUUCCUCAGAUGUCAUCUGACGAGGAAUAAAGAUUUAUCGGUUGUGGAUGGGGAUGCGUGUGAUUAGCUUGUUGGCGGGGUAACGGCCCACCAAGGCAACGAUCAGUAGGGGUUCUGAGAGGAAGGUCCCCCACAUUGGAACUGAGACGCGGACCAAACUCCUACGGGAGGCAGCAGUGAGGAAGAUUGGUCAAUGGGCGGAAGCCUGAACCAGCCAAGUAGCGUGCAGAAUGACGGCCCUAUGGGUUGUAAACUGCUUUUAUACAGGAAUAAAGUUAGCCACGUGUGGUUAUUUGUAGGUACUGUAUGAAUAAGGACCGGCUAAUUCCGUGCCAGCCGCCGCAGUAA
This 506-nucleotide ribosomal RNA is filed under the name uncultured bacterium. RNAcentral's name for it is "partial 16S ribosomal RNA". It matches the Rfam family "Bacterial small subunit ribosomal RNA", at positions 28 to 523 of the family's 1533-position model. The record is from RNAcentral.